UGGGGAAUCUUGCGCAAUGGGCGAAAGCCUGACGCAGCAACGCCGCGUGGGGGAUGAAGGCCCUCGGGUUGUAAACCCCUUUCAGCAGGGAAGAAACCAGACGGUACCUGCAGAAGAAGCCCCGGCUAACUACGUGCCAGCAGCCGCGGUAAUACGUAGGGGGCGAGCGUUGUCCGGAUUAAUUGGGCGUAAAGAGCUCGUAGGCGGCUCAGUAAGUCGGGUGUGAAAGCCCCGAGCUCAACUCGGGGAGGCCACUCGAUACUGCUGUGGCUAGAGUCCGGUAGGGGAGCGUGGAAUUCCCGGUGUAGCGGUGAAAUGCGCAGAUAUCGGGAGGAACACCAGCGGCGAAGGCGGCGCUCUGGGCCGGAACUGACGCUGAGGAGCGAAAGCGUGGGGAGCGAACAGG
Molecule: ribosomal RNA, 406 nt
Filed under: uncultured bacterium
Lineage: Bacteria
Description: bacterial SSU rRNA
Rfam family: Bacterial small subunit ribosomal RNA
Source: RNAcentral